Molecule: long non-coding RNA, 2275 nt
Organism: Equus asinus (donkey)
Lineage: Eukaryota; Metazoa; Chordata; Mammalia; Perissodactyla; Equidae
Source: Ensembl
AAUGGACCUUUAUUAUUCUAUAAUUCAAUUUCAUCUCUCUUUUGAGCCUACAGUCGAACUGACGGCAGAAACCAGGUUAAUUCAGGUUAACUCCAUCAGUUCAGUUUAUUUUCAGUCAAUUCAGGAUUUUUUUCAGUCGAGUGAGGAUUUGUGUCCUGCCUGUGUUGCCAUUGGGUUGAGCUUAGAUCUGAGGGCCUUGAUGCUGGGUGUCCUUGGUUGUCGUCUGUCCCUUCUGUCUUCCACUGAGGUGGUCACAGCUCCAGAUGGUCCACAGACACUGACGUCCUCCAUUGUUGGCAUCCUCUGGGAUGCCUGUGUUCCCCUCUGUUUUUGGACCCUUCAGUCUGUGCUGCCAUCUGCUGCCACAUUCCCUCAUCCCAAGGUGAGGAGGCCCCCUUGCUCAGCAAACUUCUGCAUCUUCGGGAGCCUGCAGGCGUGUAGGUAUUCCACACUCCUGACAGAAAAUGUCAGCUGUUCCCUGCAGCACUUGGAGGCCUGGGCCCUAUAGGUUUCCCCUGUGGUCCAUCCCCACGGCGAUUUCUCCUCUCUGGUUCUUCCUGGUGACAUUGGGAGAUCUGCAGAGCUGCUGCCGUCCUGGCCUCCGAUGGGAAGCCGAGCUCAGGUCCUCCCUACUGUUGGGCCCCAGGUGCAUCUGCUGAGUCGAUGUCUCCCUGCCCACAGCUGGCUUGGGUCCGGGGUGGGUGGGGCACGGGCCCCUCACAGAACCCACUGGAGCAACUCACGGCAGGGCUCUCUUCCCUCACCCUCCCCUACGCCUUUCUCAGGUCAGCAGAAUCUCUCUCCUUCCUGGGCAGGAUAAAACGACCUCUUCAGCUCAUCCUGUAAUUGUCUGGGUCUGUUGUUUGUGGUAAAAAAUUUAUUCCACGAGUUGGUCAGGAACUUGUCUUUCGAGAUUCAACAAUCAGGCUUUUGAGUCAAAGCUUGUUCUCGCCAGCUACUGUCUCUGCUGUGAACUUCAAAAGCCUCUUUUGAAAAAGUUAUCACAGACCUUCUAUCAAAGAUCCAAAGCUUCUGGACAAGGCCGACCUCACCCACCACUGGAAUGUAUUACGGGAAGCCAGAUAUGAUGCAGCUGGGGCCUAUUUACUCACAGUGGCCAAGGUUAAAGCAGACGAGUGCCCCCCAGUGAGGAAGGAACACACUCUCAGGCACAGUGAGCAGUGAUGUUUCAGCCGUCCGUUUCGCCGGGAUGUAGAGUGGCCAAGAGUUACUCACUUAAUUCUGAUCAAUCCAACAGACGUCUCCUCCCUGCAACGCAAGCCAACACUUUCUGAAGACAGGAAAUUGGGAAAAGGGUUAAUUUGGAAGUGGCUUCUCUUUACCCUCUUGCUGUGGCUGUUUCCCAAGGGUCUGUCCUUAGCAUUUUCUCUCUCUGUACUUUCUCAUGGCUUCAACCACACCCCUAACAUAUUCCUUCUUUAUGUGAAUUUCCAGCCUCGAUCCCCUCUCGGAGUAUCAGGGUACGUGCCCCAUUUUCUGAGAAAUAGUAAUAGGAUUGCUCCAUGAACAGUUUUCCUGAGUGACCAGUUGAUAGUUCAAAUUAAAUAGAUUAUUAAAUUAAAUAGAUGCAAAACCUAAAUUAUUUCAGAUUCCCCUCAACCUUGUUCUUCUUUCUAUGUCCCCUCUAUCUACUGAUGGUGCCACUAACUCCCUCUGUCACUCAGUGCUGGAAAUGUGUAAUUACUGCUGAGAGUGGCCUCAAUCCAAAUUGGGAUAGCUUUUUGACUUUCGGCCUAUUGGCUUGGGUUUGGAUGGCACUUUGGUUAAUAUUUCUUCUCUUUGUUCUCCACAGCAGCCACUUGCCUGUCUCCCUCUUGCUUUCCUCCUAUAUUUCCUGACUUAUGAAACAGUAAUAACCUUCAUGUAUUCUUUCAAGAACUAGUGACUGCGCAUCUGCCUUGGGCCAUGGACUCCCUGGGCGCUGCUGACAUAGCAGUGAACUUGGCAAAUGGAAUCCCUGCCGUCAUGGGGUUUACCAUAUAAUGAUCAUAACAACAGAUUUUGAGCAUUUGUCGUGUGCCAGGCUCUAAGUUAAGUAUUUACAUGCAUUAUUUUGUUUAAUUCUCAUAAAAACUAUAAUACUAUUAAUAUCUUGGUUGACAUUAAGGAAACUGAGUCUCAGAGAAGGGAGGUAAGUUGCCCAAGAUCUCCCAGGGAGCUCGGCAUGGAUUUGGGCCACCGCUCCAUCCUUCUUGGUCCUUAAACAUUUAGCCUCUGUUUGUUCUGAUUGCCAUGUAUGAUCUGUGUCGUUUUG